This 504-nucleotide long non-coding RNA is filed under the name Linum usitatissimum (flax). RNAcentral's name for it is "long non-coding RNA (LUSI_LNC001742)". Lineage: Eukaryota; Viridiplantae; Streptophyta; Magnoliopsida; Malpighiales; Linaceae. The record is from RNAcentral.
UGGAGGAUUGUGGUGGUGGAAAUUGUGCUGCUGCUGUUGUGGGGGAGGGUUAUUUUGAGGGAUUUGUUGCUGGUGAAGUGAAAUAUCUAGACCUAGCAUUGCUGCUGAAGACGAUGUUAUCCCGCUUCCUGAAAACAACCCAUUCUGUUCCAUUCAGAGGAAUCCUAUCCCCUUCGGAAAAAAGGAAACACUUAACAAAAUCAAACAAAGCUCUGCACUCUACACUGGAUACUUUCUUCUCUUUCUCCCAAAUAAACAAAUUGAAUAUAUUAUGCCGGAUUGGCCUCGUAACACUGAAUUCGACAGAAAGGUAACAGAAUUACCUACCCAGUUGAUGAAAUGAUUGGGAGAAGUAAACGUGGUCACGUAGGGAAGGUGUUCGACGAAAAGCCGCGGAGAGAAAUGGUGGAUUGCUUGCUAACUAACUAUGCCCAAUUGAAAGCGGGGAAGGUGCUGGCCGAAAAGCUGCAGAGAGAGAGAGAGAGGCGAUGGAUUGCUGCUAGC